UCAUGACUCAUGAAUUAACGUUCUUUUAUCGCUUCCAUGGUUAUUCAAUCGGUUUAAGAGAUUAAAAGGUUAUAACUUAAGAAAGGGUUUUGAGUCAAGAGAUUGAUCAAAACUACUUAGUUAAUUUGUCGUAAAGAUGGAAUAGUAAUUAGUAAAUAAGGGAGGUAACUACUCAUAUAGAACAAUAGGGGAUUCAUCGGCUUAAUCAUCCUUCUCAAAUCAUCUUUUAACAACUUUAUAUACUUUUUAUACACACAAACCUACUGCCUCAGGCACUUAUAAAGUUUACACAUCCUAGAUACUAACUUUAUUGCUAAGUUAAGAUUAACACAGUCCUCGUGGAUACGAACUUAUUUUAUUACUUCGAUAGUUUUAGUACACUUGCUAAAAUAUCUAUCAAGUUUUUGGCGCCGCUGCCGGGGACUGUUAAAUCAUUUCAACUUGGCAAUUUUGUUUUUAUUUAGGAUUUCAGUCAUUUAUAUUUUUGUAUAUAUAUAUAAAAGAAAAAAAAUUUUGAUUUAUGCUAUUCUUUUUCUUCUCAUUGUAUUGGGCUACUAAAAAGUUUAUCCAAGUUUUGCAGCUAUGAUAGACAGGUUACGCCUCUAUGACACAAAAGAGAUUUGGUCAUUGCAAUAUGAAAAAUAUAUGAUAUCUUUGAAGAUAAAAUGCUUGGACAGUAAAAUCUCACUAUUAAAUGAGAGGUGUGACAGUUAUGAGGUGGAUCAACUAAGUAGUAAUUGUAAAGAGAAGAAAGAGGUGAUCAACAUCGAUUACAAUACUCAACUUCAAAAUAUUUUAGAUGAUUUCUUGGUGUCAAACCAAUUUUCAUUUGAUAAGUUUGAUGUUCAGUGUGGUGAUCUUGUUGAGAAGGCACAGGAGUCUCAAAGGAAGUUGGUUAAGAUGGAGACAGAAUGUCACAAGGUUGUGGUGGAAGAAAAUCCCAAAGUGAGGAGUGUUGAUAUUUGUCCGAAAUCUGAACCAAUGGGGGUUAAGGAAAUCACUCUUGUGAAAAUAUAUGCACGUCCUUCUCUAAGGUGGGAGAGCUUUAAUUCCAAAAGAUCAACAUUGAGUGCAUGGGAGUAUCUGAUUCUUUGUGCUAAGUUCAUGGAAUUCCUACCAAACAAGAGGAAGAAGAAGGGUGAUAUAUUCCUUCUAUCAUUUUUGCCACCCUAACAGUGGCUGAAGCGUCAAGCUCAAUGACGUAAAAGAAAGCGCUUGGUGGGAGGCAACCCAUCGGAUCUUAGAUCCGCUCAGGUAUUGUUUUUAUUUUUUUAUUGCAUUUUAUUUUACAUAUAAAAAAAAAAAAAAACCAAUGUGUGCUACGAACGUGGCACGAAAUUUCUUUAACGUGGCACGAUCUAACAAACGAAGAAACAAGUUUGCCACUGGAAAUUUCGUGGCACGAUUGGUAAUCUAACGUGGCACGAUUUGAAAAAAACAAAAAACAAAAAAACAAAAAACAACAACAAAGAAAAAAAAAAUGAAAAGAUGGACGAAAAAAAAAUAAAAAAAUCAAAGUCCACAUCAGUUCUUUUUCAAUCACUCGUAUUCGUCAGAUGUCAGUUGAACUUUUAAUUGUUGUGUUGUUAUUUGGAUAAUUCAGUUGUACUCCCUGUUAUGUAAUUGAAUCUGAACUUGUUUAUUAUUGACGAAUUUGUUUGUUAGUUGACUUUUUUUCAGUUUAGUAACAAUUGUUUGUUCAAGUGGUAUUCCAAAAGUUCAUAAGGAGGUAGUGACUUGUAUUUCAAAGGCGAAGUGUACGGCAUGUGUGAUAGGUAGUCGCAACUCCCAGAAAUCUAACACUGUAAGGUUCAUAGCCAAAUUUUAUUUUUUUCAAUUUACUUAUAUAGAGUGUUCCGUGCAACUACAUUUCUAGAACUUGCAUUGUUUCUUUACUGUUGAUUGAUCUUUAUCAUAUACACACUGAGGCAAAAGUGCUUGGUCCUGUGAGCCUUUUCAAGCCUACCCUGAUUUUGAUUGAAUUUAUCCUUUUUGAAAGCCAAUUUGUGCCGGUAGGUUUAGAUCUUUUUGUUCGGUGACAAGCUACAUAUUGAGCCUAGGGACUUUUAGGAUUUGACCCAAAAAUAUUAUAUUUGAGUUAGGCUGUGUAGGGUGUUGCUAAACAAUAAGUUUGGGGUUGCUAUUGGAAUUUGCAACCAACUAAGUUUGGGGUGGAGGUACUAGAGAAUAAAGAACAAAUCAUGAAAAAUAUACACUCAAAAUCAAAAUGGUGUAUCAAAAAAAAAAAGAGAAUGAAAAGCAAGGGACAAACAAAGAAAAAUUUGAGUAACUUUAAACUCGAUUGUCCUAACAAGUUACAAAUAAUCUCUAGUACCUUUACAAAUUGUUAUUUCAAGGGGUGAAUGAGGGAUUGAAUCCAUUCUUUAACUUCCGUAGGAAUUGCCUAACUCAAAAUUUUGUGUAGCCUACUUAUCCAAAUAUUAUCCCACCUUCACCUAAGCCCCGUUAUAACCCUUAAAGACCUCAAAGUGUGCAUUGAUAUUGAUUUUUAUUGACGUUUAGAAAUUUUUCAAGCGUAUGGUAAUAUGUAGAUUUGCAUGUCGACUAUGAGUGAACCCUAUUCAAUUUGUUGCGUGGAGUUGUGAAUUGGUGGAUGCGUACAAGUCAAACUAGCUCAUCAUUAGCUAGUGAGGAGUUGAACUUUUGGGUACUAUCGCUUGAUUAGGUAAUUGUUAUUUUACUGUCGACUAUCAAUGUUGCAAAUAAAUUCCUUGAGGACAAGGAAUAGUUCAAGUUUGGGGUUGUGAUGACAGUCCGUCAUAUCACAUUUUUAAAGUCUUUUUAAAUAAAUUUUCAAUCUAUUUUUAUUAGUUUAGUAUUUAAUUUAGAGUCAAUUUAAAUAAAGUAAUGUUUUUUGGUCUAUUAAGUCAAGCAAGGAAAUAUUGGAAUUUAUGGGUUAUUAUCAUAAUUAUUUGUUAUGUGAUCAAACAAGAGCAAAACAAGAAGUGCCAAAAGCAAUGGUUUUAAUAUUCAUAUAAAAGAUCGGGCUUGAGAAAAUCAAAUAAAAGAAAAGCGUGACUUGCUUGUGGAGAAAAAAAGGAACUAGGUUACAUUCCUAUAUAUAAGAAAGCCAGCCGCACAUAAAAAAGAGGAAGGUGAACGUUGGGAAAGUGAGCCGCACAGGAGAUCACGAUUUUGGCCACAUGGUUUUGGGAAGACAACAACAGCACCGUGGGAUAUAAACUGUGGAGCAAAGCCGGCAACGACGGAACUCUAUCGGUUUAUUGUUUUUAUUAUGUUGUUUAUUCGUUUGAUCAUGUCUAGCUAAUUUCCUUGUUGAUUAAGCCAUGAUGAACCUAUUUUAAUAUAUGAAUCAGUAGUUGAUACUCUCUUUAUUAUUAAUGUUAUUCAGUCUUUAUUCAGAAUUACUUGUGUUCAUUGCUUUUCAGAUAAUUGUUUUGUAUGACUAUUAACCCUAGCUUCGUGCAAUUACAUGAAUUGAUAUUAGGAAUUGAAUGACUAUUAACACUAGCUUUUAAUCCUGAUAUAGUAAUCCUGUUUGAUUCAACAUAGGAACCUAGAGAUAGGAAAUUGAGGAUCAUGACUCAUGAAUUAACGUUCUUUUAUCGCUUCCAUGGUUAUUCAAUCGGUUUAAGAGAUUAAAAGGUUAUAACUUAAGAAAGGGUUUUGAGUCAAGAGAUUGAUCAAAACUACUUAGUUAAUUUGUCGUAAAGAUGGAAUAGUAAUUAGUAAAUAAGGGAGGUAACUACUCAUAUAGAACAAUAGGGGAUUCAUCGGCUUAAUCAUCCUUCUCAAAUCAUCUUUUAACAACUUUAUAUACUUUUUAUACACACAAACCUACUGCCUCAGGCACUUAUAAAGUUUACACAUCCUAGAUACUAACUUUAUUGCUAAGUUAAGAUUAACACAGUCCUCGUGGAUACGAACUUAUUUUAUUACUUCGAUAGUUUUAGUACACUUGCUAAAAUAUCUAUCACAAUGCUAAACGAUAAAUAAAAUGUAUGCAAGACUUGAAAGAAAUAAAUAAAAGGUUCAAUCACAAGGUGGGAGGUGUAGCAGUAUUAUGGGGUGUGCAGAAAAUGAAAAAAAAGGUUUGGGCCUAGAUAGAGACGGAGCGGGUCAUGGGUUAAGCCUGGCGGGUCGACCCGGAUUUGAGAGGUAUAUAAAGGGUGUAAACCCUAAUUUCCUCAUUUUUCUUUUCCUCCUUCUCUCUCUUCCGCCUCCUUCUCUCUCUAACUCUCUGUCCUCUCUCUUCUAUGUUCUUCAUUUUCCGGGCUGCUCAUGAAGUUUCCGGUGAAACUUCAUCUUCUCCGACGGAGGUAAGGUGGGUUCCGGCGGCGGUUGGCCGGCCGGUGCGGCGGCACCACCGCGCCGGAACCCUAAUUUUUUAACUUUUGUUUGUCUUGAAUUCCUAUUCUCUUCUACUCUUUCUUUCUUUACACUUUUCGGUUUUAAAACUCAAAACAGACGAAAAGGUUCAAACUUUAUCUUAGAUCCAACAAAAUGAGAAGUGAUACUACCUUUCAAGGAAAAAACAGAUUUGGUUGUUUUGAUUUGAUUCUGAUUUGUACUGCUUUACGGCUGGUCUGGAUCUUAUGAUGAUUGAGGCUGGAUCGGACUGACUGUGAUUCACGUACGGGUUGUGUCGUACGGCUGUUGAAAGCGGUUGAACUCCGGUUGCUUGAUGAGCGAUUCUGGCUUCUCCUGUGCGUUUCUGUGUGCUGUUGUUUCCUUCGAUUGUGUUUUGCAGGUUGCAAUUUAUAGUGCUGGGAUUUGGGUUUAGGGUUUGUUAAAAGAGCAGAUAAAUGUGGCUUUGGAUUGAGAUGAAGAAGGGAAACGCGUCUGUUUUUACUGGAUUUGUUUCAGAUGAAGCGUGAACCGGAUUUGGAUUGGGAUUGAGCAUACAGGCUGUUUUGGAUUGGAACACGUGAUAGAUUGCAGCUUUUGGGGAUGCGUUGAACUUGGACCAUUUUUUAGACUUUGGACAAUUUUGGGACUUAAUUAAAAAGAAAAAUUAAUAAUAAAAGGAUAAUAUCUACAAUUUUGGUUUUAAAUAAAAAGAAAAAUUUUAAAUGGGAAUAAAAGAAAUUUAAUCUAACUUGGACUAAAAAUUAAAAUUAGAAUUCUAAACUAAAAAUUUAAAAGAUGGAAAUAAAUAAUUAAAGACUGAGAGAAGAGGGCCCGAUUCGGAACUUUAUGAGGUAUUUUAAAAUACCUCCCUGCCGAAUUCUUCACUGAAAUGUGAGUCUGGUCCGAGUUCGGAGAAGUGUGUCAGUGGGACCUUAGGUCAAAAAUUGGGGUAUGACAGUACCAAAAGAGUCUACAUGUUUUAAAACUGAAUCGGAAAAUGAAUCUCACCUUUGGCACUGUCGGUAUGGUCACUUAAGCUAUAAGGGGUUGAGGACACUUUUUUAUAAGAAGAUGGUUAAUGGGCUGCCUUCACUCAAGAUUCCAAAGAAGCUAUGUAC
Molecule: long non-coding RNA, 5450 nt
Filed under: Medicago truncatula (barrel medic)
Lineage: Eukaryota; Viridiplantae; Streptophyta; Magnoliopsida; Fabales; Fabaceae
Description: long non-coding RNA (MTRU_LNC003371)
Source: RNAcentral